UGUAAAGUAGAUCCUUUCAGUUCCUAACAUACAGUAGUAGAAGUAAUUUUACUCGCACCAAGUUAAUGUGUGCAUGUUUGCGGGAUUCUAUAAGCAGUAGUAAUUACACUGACAUGAAGUUUUCGUAACCAAAUGUUAGCUAACUACCGCUAUUUUCUGGAGAUUAUUACUGACGUGAGCUUGUAACUAAGGCAACGACGAAUGACGUGACUCGCGGGAGAAGUUAAACGACGCUGAAAGAAGGAGCUGCCUAACAACUGUGGACUGCUCAACCACUGACUUUACCUGCGGAACAUGGAGAGACUUAAUGUAGGAAAAGAAAGGCUUGUCGUACCGACUGACUUCACCUCACCAACAGUUCAAAGGAAUGUCCAGGAGGACCUUGUACCCCCAUCCCAUUUUGCAUCUAGUGUGCAGUCUGCUGGAGCACAAAGAGGUUUUCCAACCUCCUGGAUAAACCCUGGUGUAACCUCAGUACCAUCAGGAGAUCCCAGUCCUGCCAAUCCAUGGCUCGCCAUCACUCAGGCCCAACAGGAAAUCUUGGAAUUGAGGAAGGAAAAUCAGCGGAUUAUGAUGUUGCAUGAAAACGGCAUUAGAGGAAAGAUUGUGGAUCAUCCAUCAGAACUGAGGCCAAGAUCUGUAGAGAGAAGUGAGCAAUGGUGCAGACGGGAUUCAAAGUGGCAUCUAGAGGAAGAGAAGCAGAAGGCUGAAGCUGAGAGAUUGAAGGGGCAGGUGGAGGCUCUGAAGGAGAGCGAAGGAAGAAACCGAGAAGAGAUUAGAGACAAAGACAGCAUCUUGAACAGACGGAACCUUGAAUUGGAAACCAUGCAUGAAGAGCUAUCUAAGGCGAAGGCUGAACUCAGCCAAAUCAGAGACAGGCUCGUUCACAGCAGUGCGCAGGAGGAGAAAAUGAGCUCAGAGCUUGAAAGACUUAAAUCCAAGUCUAGUGAGGAAGUUUCAAGGCUGAGAAGAGACGCAGACAGGAGGGAAGCAGAGACACAGGCACUCGUCCUGAGGGCUGAAAUGGGCAAAUCCCAGGCUGAGGAGGAGGCCAAACAGAAGACACUGCAGCUGUCAGAACAUUUGGAGGAAAUGCAGAGGAAGCAUGAGGAGGAGCUGCAGCGCUUGAAUGCUUCCCACACUGCAGAGUUAGCUUCUGCCCGAAAAACCAAUGAUGAACUGCAGGACAGAUUUCAAUCAAUGACCUCAGAGGUGCUGCAGCUGAAAAACACUCUGAUGGAGGUAUCAGCUGAGAGAGAUGGGCUUAAAGAACAUUUCAGCCAAAUGGGACAAGCUUUUGAAACACAAUCUGCAACACUGCAAAGCCUGAGAAAUUACAUCGGCCAGUUCUCCCCAGAGAAACAAGAGAAGGAGAAAUUAAAUGAAGCUGUUGAGAGGCUGAACAAGGAGAAGGCAGCUCUUCAGAUGACUGCAGAGCUUUUGACAAUCAGACUAAACUCUGUUAAUGAGAUACUCGCCCUCCAGGAAGAGAAAAUGGUGAUGAAGAAUUCUAUAGACUCACAUAGUAUGAAGAAUGGACGUGAAGGCAUUCAAGUGAUAAAGCUGUGGAGAGAGAAAGUCUUCAAGUUAUGUGUUCAGCUUCGCUCAAAGGACAUCGAAUUAAGAAGAGAAAGAGAAGAACUUCUUUCAAAGAUUGGAUCCUUGGAGCAGCAGCUCCAGCAGGAGCAGCACCGGGCCACUGUCCUCCAACACACUCUAGACGACAGGAUAGCUGAGCUGGACCUGGAGAGAGUGGAAAAGGAGACGUUGAAACAGGACAUGGCCCAUGCUCACAAGGAGAAUUCUCAUCUACAGUUGCAGUGCCAGAAAUGUGAGACUGAAAGUAAAAUCCUGACAGAGGCAGUGCACAGAUUUAGGCUGGCAUUUGAAGGCAAGAUGGCAGAAGUGGAUGCAGCUCAAACAAGGCUCAACACUUUUACCCAGAGGCUUAUGUUCGCUAAAAGACGAGUGGAGACGAUCCAAGGUUUGAUCAUGAGGAGAGUGGCUUUGCAGAAAAUUCAGCAGGCCAGUAAACAGUCAGAACAGACUGCUGACAGCCUGACAAGCCUCCAGACACAGCUUAGUUUGGUGUGUGAAGAGAGAGACAAGCUCGCACAGGAGCUCAGAAGAACCCCAGAGCUCGUUGAGAAAGCUUUGGCUGAUCUGAAAGAACAGUAUGAAAGCAAAUGGCGGCGGCAGCAGCAGGAGCUGGAGCAGAGCUGGGCAGAAGUUCGACAGGCUGCGGCCGAGAAAGACAAGGCCGAGCACAGCCUGCAGCAUAUCCAAGCCCAGCUGGAGGAGAGCAAGGUCAACCUGGAGAAACUCCGCUCUGAGCUGCUUAUACAGCAGGAGCACAGUGAGCAGGUCUUGCAGCAGAGGGUGUCUGAGACUGAGGACCGCUGUGUCGAGAAGCUGAGAGAGAUGGAAGUUCAAGUCUGUACGGCCAGGAGAGAGCACACCAAAGCAGUGAUGACAUUGCGGCAGUUUGAGAGAGAUGCAGCAAGGAAACAGGAUGGAAUGAGAGAGACUCCGACUUCUGGGGUUUCACACACAAAGAGGAGAGUUCAAAAUACACAACUAAGGAAGGUGGACAAGGACAAAAACCUGCCUCCUGUCACUGCUGCUGAGCGAGAGCUGGCGAGAGUCUAUACAGGUGUUCACGAUGCAGAAACUUCACAAAAGUUUGCUGCUCAUAGAGAAAAACAAAAAGCUCCAGAGAGGAGCAGCUCUGUGCAGGCAGGAGUCCAACUACCUGCAGAUGAGAGACUCCUGUCUGUUUUGGAGGAGCUUCACACGCUCAGUGUCGCAGUGGUGCACAGCUCUGAGGACUCUGCCGAGGAGGAGGAGGUGGAGGGAGAGAAUAACAGCACGGGCCCAUCCAUAGGCAGUCUGCACCACUGAUACCUGAAGCUGAGUCACAGGAGACAGUGGAAACGUCUUCAUUUGUACAAAAGGCUGGGGGUCAGAGGUGACUUGGAUCUGUGUCUGAGGUUGAUGUGAUCCAGUAAGACAGUGUUGGCGUCGUGGCAACCACCAUUUCUCCACGCUGCAGCAGAGCCCGGUGGAUGGAUGUGCACUGCGGUGGCAGGCCGUGCUACAGGCUGGAACAGCAGUCACGGAGGAGCAGUGCAAGGAAAUGCAGCCAAGUAAACCCUAUUUAUAGAUGCAGGCAAUGUGGAGCAUUGUUUAAGCGGGGAUUGCAGUGCUUUCAGAGUAGUGGCCGUGAAUGAGGAAGACGUGUAUUUUAUUCAUUCAGUCUUUCUUGACAUCUCUACAGUAAACAUGUCAUUGACUGUGCGCUCUUUAAACAAUUCUGACAGUUAUCAUUAAGUCAUUAUUGUAUUUUAAGGUUUGGUGUGUAAUAUUUAAAAUGUGUUACUGGCAUAAAUUGAAUAUACUUUUGUACUAAACUACAGAAACCCUGUGCUGAACUGUUUCUACAGUAGGACCAGGCAGAGCAUGCGUUCCAUGUUUAGAAGCAGAAGUAAGCGACACUUUCACAUGAAACAAUUUCAAACUGCACAGGCUGCAAAUAGAUGUUUCCAGUUUGGACUGGCCUUUGUUGUGCAAUUAAAUAAUUUCCAUCACAUUCUAGUACACAGAGAUUAUUAAACUGAAAAAACAAACUUGAUUAACAUUUAAUAUAUACAUAUAAUCUAGUGUGCAUGCAUUGUAUUCACAUUGGAGGAAGUCAUGUAUGUGAAGCCAUCUUUUUUUUUCCUCCGCAUUUUAGAUCAGACUUGGACAAUAAGUCUGAUUUAUACUGAAUCAUGGUUUCUUUUCAGAGGGGCAAUGGUAAACAUGUUGUUUUCCAUGCAUGACGACGUCUCCCCCUGUGCCAAUCAGUCACCCUGUAUGAAGCUGUGAUUGCAAUUUUGAAUGCAGUGCUGAGUUGUCGUCAGUGCUUAUACAAGGUGUGUGAAUGAAUGAACGAACGGUGUAAAGAAUACCCUUCAUUUGUAAUUACCACAGUGCAGCUGACUCACAAAAAAGGUUAUUGGCCUCCAUGUGUGAUUAACCUGCUCAGGAUUCUAUCUGCAUCUCUGAUAGUGUCACAGAUGACUCUGAUUCAUCAGUUCACUGUUGGCAGUUAAUGUGCUUCGAUACAUAUAUGCAUAUAAUGCAUGUGCUUUAAUCAGUUGGCACAGUAGAGCACUGGAAUGAAUAUCAAAUAUCC
Molecule: RNA transcript, 4177 nt
Organism: Solea solea (common sole)
Lineage: Eukaryota; Metazoa; Chordata; Actinopteri; Pleuronectiformes; Soleidae
Gene: cchcr1
Gene name: coiled-coil alpha-helical rod protein 1
Exons: 20
Source: RefSeq, a predicted model, not a curated record